UAGCUCAGUCGGUUGAGCAUGAUGCUGAUAACAACAAGGUCACGGGUUCGAUUCCCAU
Molecule: transfer RNA, 58 nt
Filed under: Apaloderma vittatum (bar-tailed trogon)
Lineage: Eukaryota; Metazoa; Chordata; Aves; Trogoniformes; Trogonidae
Rfam family: tRNA
About the family: Transfer RNA (tRNA) molecules are approximately 80 nucleotides in length. Their secondary structure includes four short double-helical elements and three loops (D, anti-codon, and T loops).
Source: Rfam by way of RNAcentral